CACCAAUCAAGCCUGGCUUGGUGUUGGGCCCCGGGGGUGACCCGGGCCUCAAAGUCUUCGGCUGGAAAGCUCUGAUCUCAGCGUCGUGGUUAAACAUUCGCGAAGAAAAGAGUUGACUGCGCCGUUAAAAUUACACAA
This 138-nucleotide unclassified non-coding RNA is filed under the name uncultured Mycosphaerellaceae. Its description in RNAcentral is "sequence contains ITS2". The record is from RNAcentral. Lineage: Eukaryota; Fungi; Ascomycota; Dothideomycetes; Mycosphaerellales; Mycosphaerellaceae.